GUGCUGCCAAUGUAAACAAACAAUGGCGAAUACCACAGCAAGAUAUAGCGACUUUAGCUCGUAUUGAUACUCGGGUUUCAGGGGCUUAAGCGAUUCAACAGAUUACGCAUGUAUUGAAACGGAUGGUUGGAGUAUGAAAGUAUUGAAGAAGAAACUGAAGCUAUUGAGCGAAUAGCUAUUGACGCUAUUCAUAGCCAUAGCAUGGCAGAAUAGCUGCGUUAGCAUCGCCGGUAAAAUGUGCGGACCAAACAAUCAGGACUUUCGCAUCUUUUGACACUGGAGCAACUUAUAUCCGUCGAUUGUGAAUUCACUGGGGAGCCAAGGGGGCGCCAGCCUGCAAAAGUUUGGGAACCAUUGCUUUAGGCAAUGGAAACCAGCUACCGGGUCUCUCAGAGUCCAUUUGGAGAGACUGGAGGAGAUGUGGAUGAAGAGACAGGGCUGUGGAGCUGGUGCUGAGCGCCGGGACGGACAGGCUUCACAGUGUCUUGGCUGAAUGAGGAGGUAUUGGACACCUCGGUCUCCUUGCACGCAUCCUCGCUCAUCCAUGCGGACUGGACACCGGCCGAGAGUUGGUGGGUGGCUCUCUUGGUUGCUUUGUUGGGUCUGUCCUGUGUCUGGCCAUGCUCCUCACACCCCAGCAGGUGAUGGUGUGGAACACCACAAAGUUAAACUUGUAUUUUUGUUUGGUUGCUUGUCUAUGCAUUGUGCAAUCGUGUGUGUGUAGCGAUGUAGUACUCCUUUGCGUUGUGUUUUUCCCCAAAAGACGACACCCAGUCUUUCUUCCGGUUCGACCAUAGUUUAUUCUGGUGAAAACAAUCAUUGUGAGUCUCCAAUCAGCCUUCUCUAUACAUUUUUAAACCUGCACAGAAACAAAACAAAACAAAACUUAACAUAUACUGGUUCACAUCUGAAACAUCUUCUGGACCACUUCAGAAAGCCGAUUAUAUUUUACUUUAUACAUAAUUUGAACAGUUGUCUUUUAUACAAUUUGUAAUUUGUGUGACUUUAUGAAUCAUUUGUUGGGUCUCUAUAAUCCAUUUUAUUAAUAAUUUUUAUUACUCCCUUUCGUAAUAUGAUGAUUGUUUUGUGAUUGUUUUAUAUGUAUGUCCCUAGACCUUUAUGCAAUAUAAAAGUAAGAGAAAAUGGCUUAAUAGUUUGUGGAAUGAUGGUUUUGUUUUUACAAACAUACAUUUGUGGAUAAAAAAAAAAAUCCCCAAUCAUUGUUUUUUAAACAUUUUUUACGUUUUUUUUUUCUUUUUUGACAUCCCCAAAGCAUAUUAAUAUCAAUCAAAGUUUGGAGUUUCAAACAAAAGUCAAUAUUGUACAUCAUCCCACUGAGAUUUCCUUUGCAUACAUUCAUAAAAUAAACAGAUUAAUUUGUUCUCCUAUCACAGAAUGAACAAGUGUUGUCUUCAAUUGCAAACCAUCUUAAAAAUGAUUUUAAGUCUUCAAGCCUGGGUUAUUUCUCUUAAAUUAACUCCUUUGCGUUUGGAAGAAUGGAAACUUUAAAGUUAUGAGUAUUUGUUUUUGUUGCAGAGCAAAUACAGUAAAGAAGAAAUAGUAAAGAAUUAAAAAAAAAACACAAAAUGCUUUAAUUAGAAUAAUUUUAACGAAGCCUUUAUAUAUUUUUUUAUUGUUGUGUCUAUUUGCAGGUCGUACUCAAUGAAGUCCUCAAAUAAUAAAAUACUUUAAAAACUCAAUAAGUGCAUCAGCGACCAAAUGCCUUUUUCACACAAUUGCUGUUCGAAUAUGGAUUUGUUUCUCAUUUUAAUAUAACAACAAUUCCAUAGUGGAGUAUUGUGUGUGAUGAAGUUGUGUUUGUAAAUUAGUUUCCAGUACAACAACACUUGCUGGUAGGGAUGUGUACUGUUCACUUUUAAUUCCAUGUUUUAUGUGUUAUAUAUGUAAAUAUAUUGUGUGUUUGUAUUUUGCCAACAUGGUAGAAUCACAUGAUAGGCAGGUUGUUUAAUGUUUUUCUGUCACCUUGAGGAAAUGGCCUAAAGAGGAAGAUGACAAUAUAAUGUCACUUGGACAAUGAUGUACAGAACAGAGGAGAUUUAGUUCAUUGCUAUUUUUGGUUUUAGGCGAUUUUUUUUUUUUUUAAUAUUUUUUCACAAAACCUCUCCAUUAUCCAGCAAUGGAUUUCUGGUAGCUGGUUAAAAAGAGAUGGAAGUGGAUAGUGAGCUGAUGUAUGAGGAAGGUAUGGACAUGGAUAGGACUAGAGGGGAGAGGAGGUCAUGAAGGAAAGUCGAGUGCUAAAAGAGUAGAAAAGAGGAAAAAUAUUAUGGUGGUGUCAGGUUCAAACACAAAUGACAUCUAUUAAACAGACGAGAAGCAAGAAAUCAUGCAAAGAGAGAGUUACAUUUUGGUCAAUUGAGGAGAGACGUGUUUUGAGCCGUACUCUAGUUACAGAUCCAAACUACGUUCUAAAAGUCCAGCUCGUGUGCUCUCUCUAUUUAUUUGGAAGGUCCCUGGUUACAUCACUGAGGCUGUCGCUGAGGGAAGGGGGUAAUCUCAACAGCUCUAGUUAGACACAAUUAUAUAAUUAUACAAAAAUGCAAAUGUGCUGACAGUCGUGAUAUUGCCUUGUCUCUGUGUUGUGGCCACAACAACCCUGCUUCAACUCUGGGUCAUGGCAUUUUACCCUUUAAACUGACUUUUUUUUUAAGCAUGGUUCAUCUACACUUGAAGACUUAAUUAUUAGCCUCCUAAGAACUUUUGAAAAUGUCUUAAACAUCUGCCAAAUGUUUACAAUAAUCAUAACAUUCUCGGUAGUAAAACAUUCCUCAGAAUCAUUUUGGUACAUUUUUUAGAGACCCUGAAAUGCUCAGUCAUGGAGCGUAAGACAUUCUUUUUGAGCUUUCGGGAUUCAAGUACCUGUUCUGCUGACCAAUACUAGGCUUUGAGACCCCCUUGGAAAGGCCUCCUUCCACCCCUCAAUAGUCACCAAUAGGGAAGACCUUAGCAACAUUUGAAUAUGUAAACCCAAAAUGCAUUUGUAUAGGUUAAAUAGCUCAGUUGGGAGAGUGUCAGAUUGAAGAUCUGAAGGUCCCUGGUUUGACCCCGGGUUUCAGCACAAAUCUGUGAGCUCCUAAACCAAUCCUACUAUUAAGUCUUCUGUGGCUCUUACAAUACUGAAAUGGUCUCCCUGACCUGCCAAACUUGCUGGUAGACUCCUAGUAUACGUUGUUACACACCUUUCCUCCAUUUUCAAUUUGGACACCAUUACGUGGUUUAACAGUGUAUCGUUCCUUAAAAGAGUGUUUGGUCAUUAACUGACACUUACAUUGGGCUGUUUGAAACACAAAUGUGUUGCCUUAGGGGUAUUUUCUUGGAAUGUAUAACUUGAAACUGAGAGUAAUAAAGCUGGGCUCAGUGUGCAUCCAACACACCUACUGCAAAAUAUUAACCACAACUUUCAUACAGAUACACUGUCUAACAAUUUAUGUUUAAAGUAUUGAGGUUAAACUUUUAGAUGAUCGCAUUAACGCUCUCCCACCAGAGCUAAAGUGUAUGUAUGGGAUUAUUUUUGGAUUUCAUUUUUUUUAAUAAAAUAGGGAAAACACAAUCGCUGUUAAAAAACUAUUUAAAUUAGGUUACAAGGACUGCUGCAGUUGGGUGAAAGAAUGUAUUUUGAGAAAUGUAAGGAGGUUAGCAUCAGGCACCUGAACCCUGGACCCUCAGAUUAAAAGUUUGAUGCUCUGCCGACUGAGCUACCCAAGCCCUUUUCAAAGUUGAUUUGCCCAUCAUCUGAGAGAACAGCCAUAUUGUCAAUCUCAGGUGAAGGUGUAUUAGUCAGCAUGUUCAGUGACAAGCUGGUAAUUAUCAAAGCUCAAGCUCGCCACCAAAUCUCAUUUUUUGACAGUUAUGCCAGUUUUACAUCCUCAUCAACAAAGAAGGAUUUGACCAAAAAAGAAGCCCCUCUCCCGAAGUUGCCAACUCUGAGCUGGAUUUAACUUGGAUGCUCCCCAGAAUUUUGCCAGAAGCAUUUUGCUUAAUUUUUUAGUGGAGGUUAGCUGCAACAGGUAGAGCUGGUGAAGGCCCAGGCUGCAACAAAUAGAAGGUCACUAGAUUAUAAAGUCCAACAUAAGCAGUCAGUACAGCCCUGUUUUGGUAGUUAGUGUAAUGUAAACUGUGUGUUCCUUUGGCGUAAUAUGUUUACGAUAUACAAGCUGUACUACAGAAAAACUACAAAGGUCUAGUGGCGCAAUGGAUAACGCGUUUGACUAUGGAUAAGGAGAUUCUAGGUUCACCUCCUGGCUAGCUUGUUGUAUUUCUUUGCUCUAACUGAAGCAAAAUUCAGCGCCAUUUCUUCUGGAGUGUUUUUGCAUUUAAAAUAAAUAUCUACAAACAGGAACAUUCA
Molecule: long non-coding RNA, 4363 nt
Organism: Nerophis ophidion (straightnose pipefish)
Lineage: Eukaryota; Metazoa; Chordata; Actinopteri; Syngnathiformes; Syngnathidae
Exons: 2
Source: RefSeq, a predicted model, not a curated record